Molecule: long non-coding RNA, 1583 nt
Organism: Medicago truncatula (barrel medic)
Lineage: Eukaryota; Viridiplantae; Streptophyta; Magnoliopsida; Fabales; Fabaceae
Exons: 4
Source: RefSeq, a predicted model, not a curated record
GGGAGGUAUUCUGGUAUCCACUUACGCCAUUUCUAGCAAAACCCAAUGUUUUUUUUACCAAGAACUAUGAGAUACACUCUCAACCUUGGCAUAAGCCUCUUCAAAUUCCAGUUUGAACAAGAUUGGUUUCUUCUCUCUUUUUUGUUUCAUCCACCAAUUCAAUUGUAAUUAAAAGCCGUCAAGAGUGUGUAUAAUAUACUUACAAAAGCUGAUUGUGAAUCUGAGACGACUUUAUUAAUCACUUUUUCUCUUUUGAAAAUUCGGUACCCGACCUAAAGAUUGAUUAAUUUAAGAUGUCUCUCUACACUGAUACCAUAAAAAGAUAUCUUUCUUACUAAAGCUUGUUUGAUCAAGCUAUUGGUAACCCUAAUCUUAACCUAAUAUUUUCCGUCCAUUGUGUUAGCAUUAACUCCUUGUGAUCGUAAUAAGCAUUGGAAACAAAAAUGUAUACAUGGGAGAACAAAAAUUGCUGGAUACCAACGUUAUUUAUGACUUUUGUCUGCCAACCUAAUUUUACCAAUUUUCAAUGUUCCCCUUGAUGGUUGUACCGCCGGCUCAAGUUUCUUCAGAGUUCAGCUUAAACUUCCUCUUUCUCUCAUUUCCCCUUCCAUCACCUCAUUUCAAUAUCAUAUCUCAUUGAAAACCUAAUCUCUUUUGCACAACAAUUUCAUUCACCCAAGUUGUUAAAACCCUCAUCGCCUCCCCUUCCGGCAUCAUCAUCUGAAGACCACCGAAAGAGUGUUAUUUAUACUAUAGGUUGAUUUCGGUGAGAAUUUCAGCUUAUAUUUUGAUUUCGGUUGAUGAUUCCGGUGAGAAUUUCAGCUUUUGAUUUGUUUCUACUAUAAGUUUUAGAAUCCAUCAUGUAGCAUGUUGCAAUUGAUGGGAGGAUAAGGCUGAAACUCUGCCCUGUUGGUCAAUGCUUUUAUCCUACUGCCUUGGUGUAUCACAACAAAUUGCUUCAUAUAAUAAGAAGAUAAGGUGCAAUCAUGGCUAAAAAAAGGUCAAGGAGGGUACUGUGGCAACUUUGCUUUUGUUGGGACUUUUUGUUAAUUGUGCAGCUACAUUGGUGAGGAUCACUAUAUAACAUUUUCAUCUUUACAAUUAUAGGAAAAAUGUUGAUAUUUGAGAUAAGACACUAAGGAAUUGCCAUCAAAUUUCAAUGAUAUCUUCUAUUUCUACUUGGUGCUUUGGUUAGUCCUAAGUUGAAUGAUUGUGAGAACAAGUGGAAUUGUAUACUCCAAUUUGUUUGUGAACCAGACUUGCAUUUCAAGGUUGCUGGUGGCUGGGACGAUUUGUAUUGCAAAGAGACUUUUUGAAAGGACUAUGAUAAAGCUUUCUGCAACAUUUAGUGGAAACAAUGAUACUAUCUAUUUAAAAGUGAUACCAUCCACUGUUUAGUGUUAUCUUUCAGUUUGCUUACCACCAAAAUAUUGGUUGGGUUUAAGUUUGAUUCUUUUUUUUAAGAUUAAUUAGUUCCAGUAUUAAUUGUAUUAGCAUUUUGUGCAGGCAUUUGUGAUACUAUGUAUUUUUUCAAAUGCAGUUCAUGAUAAUUGAUAGAUAUAUCAUGGUGCAAUUUAGAGCAA